CCUUUGUUAUUGUUUUUUUUUUUUUUUAUCGUUUCUCUUAUAGCUCUAGUGUUGUUCUUUGUUCUGGUUUUUAAUUUGAAUUUCACAGGAUUGUGUGUUUCGUCGCUAAUUUAUGUUCUGAUUUCUAUGUUUUUCUUUCACAGGUUUCGUCAUUGUUGGUUGUCUGUCUGAGCGUUUCAUUUCAAAGUGACAGCUUCAGUUUAGAGCUUGGAGACAGCACACCAAUUGCAUCUUUCUUGGAUGAUGAGGCUGGAUCGUCAAACCAUGAUGGUUCGCCCCCUACAAAAAAAGGCACGCACAGCACAGCAAAUGUUGAGGCUCAAGCUAUUUUUCUUGCUGAGUAGACUGUCUUUAUUAUGGAUUUUCUUUUGCUGUUUAUUAUUAAACCAUGUUGUUUAUCCCACUGUCGAGAGCUUGGGUUUUAUACAAGGUAUCGCACCACUGCCAUUGCCUAGCAAUUUUUCGAUA
Molecule: long non-coding RNA, 468 nt
Organism: Populus euphratica (Euphrates poplar)
Lineage: Eukaryota; Viridiplantae; Streptophyta; Magnoliopsida; Malpighiales; Salicaceae
Exons: 2
Source: RefSeq, a predicted model, not a curated record